Molecule: ribosomal RNA, 440 nt
Filed under: uncultured bacterium
Lineage: Bacteria
Description: partial 16S ribosomal RNA
Rfam family: Bacterial small subunit ribosomal RNA
Source: RNAcentral
CCUACGGGGGGCAGCAGUGGGGAAUAUUGCACAAUGGGGGAAACCCUGAUGCAGCGACGCCGCGUGAGCGAAGAAGUAUUUCGGUAUGUAAAGCUCUAUCAGCAGGGAAGAAAAUGACGGUACCUGAGUAAGAAGCUCCGGCUAAAUACGUUCCAGCAGCCGCGGUAAUACGUAUGGAGCAAGCGUUAUCCGGAUUUACUGGGCGUAAGGGGAGUGUAGGCGGCGUGCCAAGUCAGAUGUGAAAUACCGGGGCUCAACCCCGGGGCUGCAUUGGAAACUGGCAGGCGGGAGUGCAGGAGAGGCAGGCGGAAGUCCUAGUGUAGCGGUGAAAUGCGUAGAUAUGAGGCGGAACACCAGUGGCGAAGGCGGCCUGCUGGACGGUGACUGACGCUGAGGCUCGAAAGCGUGGGGAGCAAACAGGAUUAGAGACCCGUGUAGUC